GAUGAACGCUCGCGAUAGGCUUAACACAUGCAAGUCGAGUGGCAGCAUGGUCUUAGCUUGCUAAGGCUGAUGGCGACCGGCGCACGGGUGCGUAACGCGUAUGCAACUUGCCUCACAGAGGGGGAUAACCCGUCGAAAGACGGACUAAUACCGCGUACACUCUAUGUUGGGCAUCCAAUGUAGAGGAAAUGAAAUUCGCUGUGAGAUAGGCAUGCGUCCCAUUAGCUAGUUGGUGAGGUAACGGCUCACCAAGGCGACGAUGGGUAGGGGAACUGAGAGGUUGAACCCCCACACUGGUACUGAGACACGGACCAGACUCCUACGGGAGGCAGCAGUGAGGAAUAUUGGUCAAUGGGCGAGAGCCUGAACCAGCCAAGUCGCGUGAAGGAUGACUGUCUUAUGGAUUGUAAACUUCUUUUAUACGGGAAUAACAAGAGUCACGUGUGGCUCCCUGCAUGUACCGUAUGAAUAAGCAUCGGCUAACUCCGUG
This 490-nucleotide ribosomal RNA is filed under the name uncultured bacterium. Its description in RNAcentral is "partial 16S ribosomal RNA". It matches the Rfam family "Bacterial small subunit ribosomal RNA", at positions 28 to 507 of the family's 1533-position model. The record is from RNAcentral.